This 254-nucleotide ribosomal RNA is filed under the name uncultured bacterium. Its description in RNAcentral is "partial 16S ribosomal RNA". It matches the Rfam family "Bacterial small subunit ribosomal RNA", at positions 524 to 776 of the family's 1533-position model. The record is from RNAcentral.
UACAGAGGGUGCGAGCGUUGUUCGGAGUUACUGGGCGUAAAGGGUGUGUAGGCGGUUCUUUAAGUUUGGUGUGAAAUCUCCCGGCUCAACCGGGAGGGUGCGCCGAAUACUGAGGGACUUCGAGUGCGGGAGAGGAAAGUGGAAUUCCUGGUGUAGCGGUGAAAUGCGUAGAUAUCAGGAGGAACACCGGUGGUGUAGACGGCUUUCUGGACCGUAACUGACGCUGAGACACGAAAGCGUGGGUAGCAAACAGG